GCUUACACAUGCAAGUCGAACGAUGAAGUCUCCAGCUUGCUGGGGGUGGAUUAGUGGCGAACGGGUGAGUAACACGUGAGUAACCUGCCCCUUUCUUCGGGAUAAGCUUGGGAAACUGGGUCUAAUACCGGAUAUUCAGCGGCUGCCGCAUGGUGGUUGUUGGAAAGAUUUAUUGGGAGGGGAUGGGCUCGCGGCCUAUCAGCUUGUUGGUGGGGUGAUGGCCUACCAAGGCGUCGACGGGUAGCCGGCCUGAGAGGGUGACCGGCCACACUGGGACUGAGAUACGGCCCAGACUCCUACGGGAGGCAGCAGUGGGGAAUAUUGCACAAUGAGCGAAAGCUUGAUGCAGCGACGCCGCGUGAGGGAUGACGGCUUUCGGGUUGUAAACCUCUUUCGGCAGGGAACAAGUCCAGGUUUUGGCCUGGUUGAGGGUACCUGCAUAAGAAGCGCCGGCUAACUACGUGCCAGCAGCCGCGGUAAUACGUAGGGCGCGAGCGUUGUCCGGAAUUAUUGGGCGUAAAGAGCUCGUAGGCGGCUUGUCGCGUCUGCUGUGAAAACGCGGGGCUUAACUCCGCGCUUGCAGUGGGUACGGGCAGGCUUGAGUGUAGUAGGGGAGACUGGAAUUCCUGGUGUAGCGGUGGAAUGCGCAAAUAUCAGGAGGAACACCGAUGGCGAAGGCAGGUCUCUGGGCUAUAACUGACGCUGAGGAGCGAAACCUUG
RNAcentral lists this ribosomal RNA (720 nucleotides) under uncultured bacterium. RNAcentral's name for it is "bacterial SSU rRNA". It matches the Rfam family "Bacterial small subunit ribosomal RNA", at positions 46 to 763 of the family's 1533-position model. The record is from RNAcentral.